Molecule: ribosomal RNA, 494 nt
Filed under: uncultured bacterium
Lineage: Bacteria
Description: partial 16S ribosomal RNA
Rfam family: Bacterial small subunit ribosomal RNA
Source: RNAcentral
GACGAACGCUGGCGGCGUGCCUAAUACAUGCAAGUAGAACGCUGAAGGAGGAGCUUGCUCUUCUGGAUGAGUUGCGAACGGGUGAGUAACGCGUAGGUAACCUGCCUGGUAGCGGGGGAUAACUAUUGGAAACGAUAGCUAACACCGCAUAAAAUUGAUUAUUGCAUGAUAGUCAAUUAAAAGGUGCAAUUGCAUCACUACCAGAUGGACCUGCGUUGUAUUAGCUAGUUGGUGAGGUAACGGCUCACCAAGGCAACGAUACAUAGCCGACCUGAGAGGGUGAUCGGCCACACUGGGACUGAGACACGGCCCAGACUCCUACGGGAGGCAGCAGUAGGGAAUCUUCGGCAAUGGACGGAAGUCUGACCGAGCAACGCCGCGUGAGUGAAGAAGGUUUUCGGAUCGUAAAGCUCUGUUGUAAGAGAAGAGCGAGUGUGAGAGUGGAAAGUUCACACUGUGACGGUAUCUUACCAGAAAGGGACGGCUAACUACGU